GAUGAACGCUGGCGGUAUGCUUUACACAUGCAAGUCGUACGAGAGUUUUUAACUCUAGUGGCGGACGGGUGAGUAACACGUAAGAAUUUGCCUUUAGGAGGGGGAUAACAACUGGAAACGGUUGCUAAUACCCCAUAUGCUUUCGAGUGAAACGGAUUUCCGCCUAAAGAGAAGCUUGCGGCUGAUUAGCUUGUUGGUGAGGUAAUGGCUUACCAAGGCGACGAUCAGUAUCUGGUUUGAGAGGACGAUCAGACACACUGGAACUGAGACACGGUCCAGACUCCUACGGGAGGCAGCAGUGGGGAAUUUUCCGCAAUGGGCGAAAGCCUGACGGAGCAAUACCGCGUGAGGGAUGACGGCCUAUGGGUUGUAAACCUCUUUUUUCAGGGAGGAAUCAAUGACGUGUACCUGAAGAAUAAGCAUCGGCUAACUCCGUGCCAGCAGCCGCGGUAAGACGGAGGAUGCAAGUGUUAUCCGGAAUCACUGGGCGUAAAGCGUCUGUAGGUGGUUUAAUAAGUCAACUGUUAAAUCUUGGGGCCCAACCUCAAAAUCGCAGUCGAAACUAUUAGACUAGAGUAUAGUAGGGGUAAAGGGAAUUUCCAGUGGAGCGGUGAAAUGCGUAGAGAUUGGAAAGAACACCGAUGGCGAAGGCACUUUACUGGGCUAUUACUAACACUCAGAGACGAAAGCUAGGGUAGCAAAUGGGAUUAGAUACCCCAGUAGUCCUAGCCGUAAACAAUGGAUACUAGAUGUUGGACAGAUCGACCUGUGCAGUAUCAAAGCUAACGCGUUAAGUAUCC
Molecule: ribosomal RNA, 800 nt
Filed under: uncultured cyanobacterium
Lineage: Bacteria; Bacillati; Cyanobacteriota
Description: bacterial SSU rRNA
Rfam family: Bacterial small subunit ribosomal RNA
Source: RNAcentral